GCUGAACGCUGGCGGCGUGCCUAAUACAUGCAAGUCGAGCGAACGGACGAGAAGCUUGCUUUUCUGAUGUUAGCGGCGGACGGGUGUGUAACCCGUGGAUAACCUACCUAUAAGACUGGGAUAACUUCGGGAAACCGGAGCUAAUACCGGAUAAUAUUUUGAACCGCAUGGUUCAAAAGUGAAAGCCGGUCUUGCUGUCACUUAUAGAUGGAUCCGCGCUGCAUUAGCUAGUUGGUAAGGUAACGGCUUACCAAGGCAACGAUGCAUAGCCGACCUGAGAGGGGGAGCGGCCACACGGGAACUGAGACACGGUCCAGACUCCUACGGGAGGCAGCAGUAGGGAAUCUUCCGCAAUGGGCGAAAGCCUGACGGAGCAACGCCGCGUGAGUGAUGAAGGUCUUCGGAUCGUAAAACUCUGUUAUUGGGGAAGAACAUAUGUGUAAGUAACUGUGCACAUCUUGACGGUACCUAAUCAGAAAGCCACGGCUAACUACGUG
Molecule: ribosomal RNA, 497 nt
Filed under: uncultured bacterium
Lineage: Bacteria
Description: partial 16S ribosomal RNA
Rfam family: Bacterial small subunit ribosomal RNA
Source: RNAcentral